RNAcentral lists this long non-coding RNA (996 nucleotides) under Anser brachyrhynchus (Pink-footed goose). Its description in RNAcentral is "lncRNA (ENSABRG00000016519.1)". Lineage: Eukaryota; Metazoa; Chordata; Aves; Anseriformes; Anatidae. The record is from RNAcentral.
CUUGUCUGUAAAGAGGAAUUGUCCUCAUUAGGAAGGCAUUUUAAUUAAAGCAACUACUUGUGACUUAACAGAAUAUUUUAGCAAACAUGCACUACUUAAAAACAUGUUUAUAUGAGUUCUAAAAUAAUAACUGGGAAAAGUUUACUAGAGAAACUGUACGUAGACAGGUCUAUAACUGCACGUCGCAAAGACUCAUGAAUUUAAAAGUCAGCAAGGCAGGAAUUAACUUCAAACACAAGGUCAACUUAUUUGCUAGUUAGAACAGGGUAAUUGGACAAGCUACAAGUGCUGGGGAUUUUGAUGUGAAACAGGUGAAAAUGGAGAUUUUCAUAAUUGAUAACUAAUUAUUUUCAAUUAGCGUUUGGUAAGCAGGUGCCCUUACCAUAUAAAAGGAGGUGGCAGAGAGAGAGCAUUUUUCCUGCUGCAUGGCUUAUAGGUUGGUGAAGAGUUUUUGUUUAGAGAGAAGCCUUCUGAAAUUACAGAGAAAGGAGAAUACAGACCUACUUCAGGGAGAAGGCAGCUGCUCGGGUCGGUUCUGUUGUGCAGCUCUGGAGAGGAGAAGAUAUUUCUCAUGCUGAGCUACAGGAAGUUGAUGCUGAAAUGCAAUAACAGCAGAUGUUACUGGGAUGCAGUCAUAAAAUGGAGGCAAACGGGCUCUUUGUGACCAGCUCAGGCCACAGCACCGGCGUAUUUCCAGAUGGUGCAGAUGCUAUUUAUAAAGCAUUGCGCAGGGGAUCUGUUACGGGGUGCUUUACAGCCACACUUUGCAGAAGGACACGUCUGCUGUCUCAUCCAUUGAGAAAGACUCUUCCAGAGCAAAAGAGCCACAGGUCAGUGCUGCUGCUCUCAGGGGCAUGCGGUAAGAUAUCCUGUGACUGUAGCGAGGACAAAGGGAGUUGUAAAGAGCAGUUAGGAGAAAAAGCCUCCCUGAUCUGCCCAGUGUCCUGCUUCUCUCUUCGGGAUGGAAUGACAAGUUUCUGUCUGGAUUUUCUCUAG